RNAcentral lists this transfer RNA (74 nucleotides) under Oxynema mangrovii CENA135. RNAcentral's name for it is "tRNA-Leu". It matches the Rfam family "tRNA". Rfam says of the family: Transfer RNA (tRNA) molecules are approximately 80 nucleotides in length. Their secondary structure includes four short double-helical elements and three loops (D, anti-codon, and T loops). Further hydrogen bonds mediate the characteristic L-shaped molecular structure. tRNAs have two regions of fundamental functional importance: the anti-codon, which is responsible for specific mRNA codon recognition, and the 3' end, to which the tRNAs corresponding amino acid is attached (by aminoacyl-tRNA synthetases). tRNAs cope with the degeneracy of the genetic code in two manners: having more than one tRNA (with a specific anti-codon) for a particular amino acid; and 'wobble' base-pairing, i.e. permitting non-standard base-pairing at the 3rd anti-codon position. The record is from RNAcentral. Lineage: Bacteria; Bacillati; Cyanobacteriota; Cyanophyceae; Oscillatoriales; Oscillatoriaceae.
ACCCCUGUGACGCAAUUGGAAGACGUGGCCGACUCAGACUCGGUGGUUUGCAGGUUCGAGUCCUGUCAGGGGUA